UACGUAGGGGGCAAGCGUUGUCCGGAAUUAUUGGGCGUAAAGCGCGCGCAGGCGGUCGUUUAAGUUUGGUGUUUAAGCCCGGGGCUCAACCCCGGAUCGCACUGAAAACUGGGCGACUUGAGUGUAGGAGAGGAAAGUGGAAUUCCACGUGUAGCGGUGAAAUGCGUAGAUAUGUGGAGGAACACCAGUGGCGAAGGCGACUUUCUGGCCUAUAACUGACGCUGAGGCGCGAAAGCGUGGGGAGCAAACAGG
Molecule: ribosomal RNA, 252 nt
Filed under: uncultured bacterium
Lineage: Bacteria
Description: partial 16S ribosomal RNA
Rfam family: Bacterial small subunit ribosomal RNA
Source: RNAcentral